ACUUAGUAUGUUGUGUGUGCAUGGGGCGACCAGGGGAAAGGAAAAGGGAGCCAAAACCCUAGAACUCAACAAAUCAUCAAAUUGAAGCCUGAUUCAAGGUCAAAAUCGAUGCAUGAAUACGUAGAAACGAUCACCUAGUCGUGGGGAUCGUAAGUUUGACGCUUGACAAGCUAGGUAGAGGCUUGGAAAGGAAGCGGGUCAAACGAAGUAAGAAUGGCGGAAAAGCAUAAUUCGGAUGCAAGGUAAGUAUAACUUACACUAGUCUUAAAUUGUGGAAUGUUUUCUUAUCAUAUAAAUUAUGAAUGAGGUGUCUAAACAAUUGAAAUAUGAUGUUCCGUCGUGUAAUCGAACGGAACAAGAAAAUCAAAGAUAAAUGGUCAAUUCGGCCAAACGGGUCAAAAGGUGUAGAUAACACCUUUUGACUAUAUAGACUAAUGAUUCUUUUGUCGAGUCAUAAGCUUACAGGAAUAGAUAUCCAAUGGAUAUUCGCACCGUUCUUAAUUAGCGAAUAUAAAGCAAGGUAUUAAGAUCGGGUCUAUUUGUUGACCCGAGUCAGGUACGCUUAUUUAUGAUGUAUGUAAAAAUACUAAUUUGGUCGAAUAAUUGGUGAUAGCCCUUCAUUGUAAAAGAAGGACCAAAAUCGACCAAAAUGCCCUUGUAGGCUAAAUUGAACAAACAACCUUUAAAGGUUGUUUGGAAACGAGUUUUGCGAUAAGAUAAAUACUUAGAAUAAGUAUAGAAGUUGAAGGGGGUAUUGUUUUUAGUCAAACGGCACUAUUGAGUUUUGCCGUAAAAUAUUGAUUUUAGAGGUAAAAUUUGGGUUAUAUAAGAUCACCAUAAUAAACUCACCUUAAAUGCAGUCGAGGUGGGGUAUUAUAGGGUAAGAAAUGUGGUGAUGGAAUACUAGAAGAAAUCGAAAGCGUUUUUAGGCCUGAAAAUGCUUAAAUACCCUUAACGGGUCAAAAUAAACAUCCGAGUAAAAAUUGAUUUAAUUUGAGUAAUUAAACCGGCGAUUAAAAUCUAAUAUGAUAGGCAACAAUAAGUCGAAGAAGUAUAUGUGAUAUAAGGGCCAAAUAAACAUGUUUGAUGGUGAAAUCACAAACGGGUCAAAAUUGGCAAAAAGGGGAAAUAAGCCGAAGACUUAGAAGUCUUAAAAUUUGUUAAGUCGAAUGUCGGAUUUUAACCUCAUAAGAUGGAGGAUUAAAUUACGGACGCGUAGGAAAAGGAAUCGGGUAAAACGGAUCAAUAACGAAGAAGUUAUGGCCGUUUCCGUAAAAACUGGCAUAGCUGAACUAAGCUGCAGACCUGCUGAUGCAGGGGCCACCGUAAAUUACGGUGUCCACCGUAAUUUACGGUGGAGUUGAAAAAUGCUACGGUGGAUCCCUCCUGGUUUACGGUAGGGGCCUGUACUACCAGUGGCCACCGUAAAUUACGGUGCCACCGUAAUUUACGGUGGAGGUCAGGUUGAAAACUUUGUUUUUGUUAUCAAUUGUUUCUCGAACUCGUUUAGACGCGUUUUAAGUCCUGUAUGACUAAAGCAUUUCAUGUUUAUGAAAUGUAGGUACAUUUUGGAUGCCGGAAGACGAUCAAGCAUCAUCGAAGAACCGAACACUAUAAAGAUUCACGCUUCCGCACAUUGUAAAUCGAUAUUUUUAAACGACGAAUUUUGUCACAUUAGGCGGUGUACUUGGAAAUUGUGAAAGUUUUAAUUAACUCGUAUUUUCUAAGGAUACUUAACGUUAA
Long non-coding RNA from Helianthus annuus (common sunflower), 1743 nucleotides. RefSeq lists it as uncharacterized. The transcript is spliced from 2 exons. NCBI's taxonomy places the organism in Eukaryota, Viridiplantae, Streptophyta, Magnoliopsida, Asterales, Asteraceae. The record is from RefSeq and is a predicted model, not a curated record.